This is a small nuclear RNA of Aotus nancymaae (Ma's night monkey), 106 nucleotides long. The record is from Ensembl. Lineage: Eukaryota; Metazoa; Chordata; Mammalia; Primates; Aotidae.
CUAUUCCAAAAUCAAAAGUUAAACCAAAAGUGGAAUAAUAGAGAGAAGAUUAGCAUGGCUCCUAUGCAAAGAUGACACACAAAUUCGUGAAACAUUUCAUAUUUUU